UCACCCCCGGCACAGCCGGACGUUUGGGGGCCUUCUUUCAGCAGGGGACAGCCUGACUGGGGUGAGCGUCCCCUGCCCUCCCCCCCGGGCCUCCCCCCUCGCCUGGCUGGGCCACCUAUUUUGGGAGCAGGAGUGGCCAAGCCCGUGGCUUUCCAGGCAGGCCUGACCCAAGAGGAAGGGAGCGUGGUGGGGACAGUGGGGUUCCCCGGGAGCGGGAGUGCGGGGCGCAAGUCCUCCCUCCCCUGCUGCAGAGCGUGCGCCCUGCUUGGGGUGGGUUUGGGACACUCACGUGUGUGGGUCAGAUUGCGUCACUGUUUGGGAGCACGGGAGGCUCAGAUGAGGAGUAUCGUAUUCGUGACUGUCUCCACCCCACAUCUUGCUCCAACCAGAGGUUUGGGGGGUGGGCGUUGUCACUGCGUGUGCUCGUGUGCUCGCGUGUGUGUGUGUGUGUGUGUGUGUGUGUGUCCCUGCCCCUGGCAUCUGUCUUCUGUCUCUCAGCCUGGCUGGUCUGGGCCUCAUGCGACUCGCCUGGUGUCUGCCUAUGAAAGUCACCCAGAGGCAGGCAGACAGGGAUGUUUUCCCCUGUUCUCAUCAUUUCCAGAAAGAGAGAAGGGGUGGCCUUCCCCACAGGGGCAGCCUGUAGCCGUGUGGCAGCCCGGCCUCACCCUGGCAGGGUUGGGAAUGACCCCCCAGUGGGGGAAGGAAGGCUGUUGCCAUGGUGGCCUGUGUGAGGCAAAUUCCUCCAGGGUGAAGUGGGAGAUAUUUAUACCCAGGGUCAGGCAGAGAGCCGGCCAGCGGCCGAGGGCAGGAGAGCUGGGAUAUCACACGGACGCAGCAGGGCCGUGGUGGGAGGGCAGGUGGGCCCUUGCAUGUGUCUCUCACCCCUCCCCGUGUGUCUGUCUCUCAGUCUGGGUGGGGCGAGCCAUCCCAGUCUUCCCAUUGGGUAGGUGUGGGGAAUCUGGCGCCUGCUGUAGGGCGGCCCAGGCCUCCGGGAGACCCCUGUGACUGUGUGUCUCACCCCUGCCCAUUGUGGCUUGUUUUGGUGACACUGUGUCUGCAUGAAGCAGGGGGUGCCCCUGUUUCUCAAAGUGGCCAAGCUGGAUGAUGGACGUUUUUGGAAUCACACCCCCCCCCCCCCGGGAGUCUGAUUUAACCCCUUGGGUUCAAGCCCCAAUGGUGGGGGUACUAGGAAACACGUUUCUUGACCCUUGGUGUUCUCCAGGACAAUGGCAUCUCUCCACCACAUCUUGGUUCUCUGUGUGGGUUUCCUCGCCAUGGCCAACGCAGGUGAGUCUGGGGUAGGUAGCCCGCUACCCACCUCGGCCCCGAGGGAGGGGAGGGAAGCCUUUCAAGAGAACCAAGUUGGAGACUCCAACUUAAACAGAGUCAGUGGGGUACCAGGAAAUUGGAGGUUUCACGUGGGGGAGGGGAGGGGAGGAUGCCCAGGGCAGACAAAGGUGGAGGGUGGGAUGGAGCCCCACUUCCCGCACAGGACAGAAUCAAGGACAACACGGGAUGAGGCGGGAAGCUGUAACAGUUAAGUGACCACCUGCCCCCCCACCCCUGCCCCAGGACAGUGCAGAUGAGGCAGCUAAGACCCAGAGAGGGGUGGACAGCCUGUUCAGGGUCCAAUAGUCCCCAGACUCUCAGCCCAGGACAGGAAAGCCCCCAAAGGUCUCUUUAUGCCCCUUCCUGUCCAGGGCCCCAGGAAGCAUCCAACCCUUGACUUCUUUCUCUUUCCAGAGGCUCCACAGGAACACGAUCCAUUCACCUAUGGUGAGGGAGGGAGGGGCAUCUAUGCUUGGGAGUUGGGAGGGUGGGUGGCCUGGGUUUGCCGGUCCUGUUCCCACUCCUCCUCAUCUCUCUCUUCCUUUAUCUCUGACUCAGUAUUUAUAUCUCUGUCAGUCUCCUUCUCUCUCUUUCUCUUGUCUCUCAGAAGGCUGACUCCUUCUUGUUUUUAUCUCCCCUUGUCUGUGUCUCCGUGUGUCUAUUUGACCCCUCCCUGUCUCUCUGAUUCUCUUUCUCCUUUUACCUCUCAAUGUCUUACGGCUCAUCCUCUGCGGCCAUCUCCCUUUCUCCCCUCUGUUCCCCUCAUCCUCUCCAUCAUCCUCCCCUACUUUCUUGUUUCCUCCCUCCUCCCUGCCCUGCCUACCUCUUCCUUUUCCUUCCCACCCCCUCCUCUCCCCAUCCCUCUUCUCUUCCUCCCACAUCUGUUUCCUCCUCUCAUUGAUCUCUCUGUUCUCCUCCCUGAUCCUCCUUGCCCCUUCCUCCCCAUUUUGCCCCUCUCCUGUCCUUCCUCCUCCCCUCCCUGUUCUCACUCUCCUCCCUGCCGCCCACAGACUACAAAACCCUGCGGAUCGGAGGCCUUAUCAUCGCCGGGAUCCUCUUCAUCCUGGGUAUCCUCAUCGUUCUGAGUGAGUACCCCCACCCUGCUACCUCCAGCUCCGAGUGGGUACCCGUAUCCGCCUCGCCCCAACCCCGGCUGUGUCCCCACGGCUCCGCCCCUCGCGAGCCGGCGCUGGCGCUCGAGCGCCGCUCGGUGCCCGCCCGGAGCGGAAUCUCAGCCCUGCCCUCCUACCCCCACCCACAGGCAGAAGAUGCCGGUGCAAAUUCAACCAGCAGCAGAGGUAAGAGGCCCCUCGGGGCUCUCACUCUCCUCCUUCCGCUCCAGAAGGGCGCCGGGAGUGAGGCAGGGAGUCCACUCGACCCACAGCCAGAGACCCUUCGGCAAAUACGUAUUAAGCACCUACUACGUGCCAAGCCGCAAGCCAGGCCCUGGGGACCAAACGGCGACUAACUAAACUGCCCUCCCUGCCUGGCUGAGCUCCCAGCCCAGUGGGGGCGGCGGCCGUGGGUUCCCGCAGCCCCACAAAUAUAAAAGCACAAAGCGUGAUAAGUGCUGUGAAAGAAGGAGCCACGGCGAAAUGAGAUCACCGCACUUGGCGGCCCAGUUUAGCUCAGAGUCCUGUUCCCAGCUCUUUGAUUCAUCUCUAAAUAAAAAUUUAAAGCAAUGUAUGAAUCCCUUCUCCGUGUGAAAACAAUUCUAAAUGUUAUUUUAAAGAAUAGCUAAUGUUUAGUCCCACGUGCUGAAAGAUAUUGUUUUAUCGUGUAUUAUGUUAUUUCCUCCUCACACCCCUUGCAUGAGACUGUCGUUGACAACCUCAUUUUAUCGAGGAGGAAACCGAGGCGCAGGGAGGUGAAGUCACUUGCCCGAGAUCACUCAGCUAGAAGAUGAGGGUUCUGGGUUUCUAACCUAGGCUGUCUCCAGGCCGUCUGUCCUCAAGCCCUUCGGCCAUCCCUCCCCCACCAACUUCCAGUCUCUUCCCCAGCACUCCGGGAGGCGCUUGGAGCGCGUCCUGCCACACGCUUAAACUGCUCCUGGGUGCGCCCGAUUUUCUAGUUUCUGGCGGCCCCCGAGCCUGCUCCUCGCCGGUCUCUGGCCCUCGGUACCGGGGUCUGUGAAAUGAGGGCUGUACUGGGGGGCUCCUGGGAGCAUCUGCCUCUCUUUUUCAUCCCCACGUCCUUCUGCCUCUCCUUUCCCAGGACUGGGGAACCGGAUGAAGAGGAGGGAACUUUCCGCAGCUCCAUCCGCCGUGAGUCUGGGGGAGACUUUGGGUGUUUGGGGGUGGGGGCUGGUUCCAAGAACCCCUUUCCUGGUCCUCUCUGGGCGUGCGGAGGGAGGGACUUGAUCCGACAGCGAAGGUCCGGGAGUUCCCCUGUCGCUCCCCCCUCCGCGGGAGCUGGGGUGCCCCUCCUGACACCCGAACUCUCCGUGUUCCCCCUCAGGUCUGUCCACCCGCAGGCGGUAGAGACACCUGGCGCGAUGGAACCCAGCCAGGUCCUGCAGCUCGGGCUAGGCUGGGGGAGGGGGGCAGGAGAAGGGGACGAAGGGUGGGAUGAGAUGGCUGGGGGGCUCUGUUGCCCCUCACCCUUUUCGCCCCCACAGGAUUCCCCUGGCACCUGGCGCCCCCCACCCACCACCUGAGCACCACCACCACCUGGACUGCCCUCUUCCCCAGCCCUGCCCCCACAGACUCCUCUCUGCCGCCCAGACUUCAAUAAAACGUGCUUUUCUCUCUCGACAGCGCUUUAUGGAUCUGUCAGUCCCUCUGCGCGAAAGCCCGGGCGCCCCCUGGGCCCCGGCAGGGGGCGCCCCCACCCUUGGGGAAGGGGCGGGGACGUCGGCAGUGGGCGGGGGCGGGGGCGGGGGUGGCCGGGACGGGGGCGGGCUCUCCGGGCCCCCAUUGGCUACGGCACCCCCCACACGAGGGCUCCCCCAUCGCCCCCCGACAUCAGUCCGUCCCGCUUCCAGCUGCCGCAGCCGCGCCUUCACCACCUCGGCCUCCAGCCGCCCCCUGCUCCGGUCCGGCAUGGCGACCCCGACCCAGGCCCCCACAAAGGGUGAGCGCCGCCGGGGGAGAGGGCGCGCGGGUGAGGGUGGGGGAGGCUCCGGGAUCUCAGAGCUUAGGAGAGAGGAUCUAGGGAGAUUCCAGUACCGAAAACGGAGGGGAAUGGGGAAGGGGGUGUCCGUUCCUUCCCAGGGCGGAGGCCCCUGCAGCGCACCCCUUGGCGCCCCUCCAGGCCUCUUGGACACCCCCUCCCGGUGGUGUCGUUUCUGUGCGGGACCCGCGGUUGGAGAGCGGCAGUCCCGGGAGAAAGGAUGCGCGGACCGGUAGCUAUGGCAACCAGGCGGCUGGUCCUGCACAGCGGUGGUAGUGGACGCGAAGGGACGGGCUUCGAGGGUGGGAACGGGGGGGUCUGCGACCACAGAGGCUCUGGCACAUUUCAGGGUCUCCGAGGUGGGCAAAAGGAGGGGGUCCACAUCCCUCUUUCUUCCAGCCCUGGCGCCUAUGGUGGGUGUCUCCUGAAAUCUCUGACAGGCAGGUUCAGCGGGAAGGAGGGAGAAAGACGGAAAGACAGUGGGGGAGAGAGCUGGAGGAAGUGAGAGAGAGAUGGAGAGAGACAGGAGAGAGAGGGAGGCAGAAAGGAAUGUGGAAAUUGAGAAAGCCUAAGAGAGAGAGAGAGAGCGAGCACGAGCAGACCCCGAGUCAGAGAUACAGAGAGAGACCCGGGAAGAGCACCGAUAUGAGACUGAAAGAUAUUCAGAGAGUGAAGGGGAAGGCGGAGAGCAACAGAAAGAUGCAGAGAAAGAGAAAAUCAGAGACAAAGAGACAGAGAAGCGGAGAGAAAGACAUAGAGCAGGAGAGAGCGAUGGACCUACAGCGCGGGAGAGAAAUGGAGAUAAGGAGGAGCACCAUGGGGUGGGGCCAUGCCACUGCAGUGAGCCCCCUUGGGCCAGAAUGGGUGGCAGGACCCUCCUUCCCAGCCCACAUCCAGGGGUGCUGUCUGGUCCGGGAGGUGCACUCGAGCGUGCACACAAAUGUCCCUCCUCACCCCCAUCCAGCCACACGGCAGUUUACAUUUCACACCCCUUAACCCAGUUAUUCACCCACUUAAACACCCACUGCCCCCUGAGAGCCCCCUUUCUUGAGCCCGCCUCUGCAAAGGAGCAAAGGGAAGAAUGCUUUAAUUGCGGGGGGGGGGGCGGGCGGGUGGCAGGCGGAGGGUUUCCCGCACAGAGAGCAGGGCCAGAAGGGAUAGGCCAGUGGUGCCGAGGAGCCCCUGGUGGUGAAGGGAACCCCAGUUCCACUCCGAUCUCUCCUUCCCUGCCCCCUUUCCCAGCAGGCAGGGGCUGCUGCACUGAGCCAUAUCUGCAGAAUUUGAAGCAGGGCGGGGUGGGGGGGCUGCAGAGGCUGGAAGCCACCCUAGGGAGGGGGGGGCAGGGCUGAGCCAGCAGGCCUGGCGGGAGCCCAGGGCUUCUUUUCGCAGAGAUGGUGGUUAACAGGAUCGAUGGCAGCAGACGGGCAGAGGUGGGAGGACAGACGCCUCACCAUCCCCCCCCCCCACCUUUCCCCCAGUCAUAGCAGAAGGGGGGACCACAGGUCUUGGGAAACCCCAGGGAGGGGGGCGGAGGAAGAGCAUGUUGUGUGUUGCACCACUUAAGCUGAUUAAUGGAUUGUUUGGGGGGGGGGGCACAGUGGAAGGGGAUGAGGGCUCUUCCACCCCGUCAGAAAGCAGGAGGGAGAGUUGGGGGCAAACAGAAAGGGGGUGCAGGAGCAUGACUGGGCCUGGGGUCCCACCCUUGAGAAGAACCCUGGGCUUGGCCGGAAGCCAGCCCUGCAGGGGCAACACCGGGAGGUACAAAGGGAGCAGAGGGAGUCAAGAUUGGCCUCGGAGUUAGAAACCUCAGCCCCAGGACCCCACCUAGCCUGGGGUGCCCAGACCCAUUACCUCUCUUCACCUCUUAAGUGGCCCCGGUUGCCAUAGCAACCACCUCCUUCCUGAUGUCUCCCUGGCAACUGGCCAGGAGUGGUGCACAUUUCUUCUUCUGCCUCCUGGCUCCACCCUCAGCCCAGCCUCGCCCCGAGGAACCAGAUUGCUGGGGUGGCGGGGACCAGAAGAGGGACUUCUGCACAGAGCACGGAGCACCCAGGGUGCAACCAAAGAGGAUCCUGGAGCAGGUCCUCACCCAGUGGGCUCCCGCUGGCUUGGGGAGGCAGGCUGUGUGGAGACCCAGGGGACGAAGCAGGCUAGUCCAACCAUUCCAUCUGUGAUUCAGCUUUCUGCAGCCGAGCAGGGCUCACAUUCGUUCAGUCGGUCAGUCACUCAUUUAUUUAUUCAUUUUAGAAAACUUCUUUGGAAGACUUGUGUAAAUGCCAGGAUUCACAGCAGAGGAGUCAAAGCAAUGUACUCCCCAUCUGGUGGGGGGGGGGUGCUAAGCACACAUGACUCUAAAAUCAUGUUUCCCCAACUUGAUGCUUUCGAGGACCACCUUCACAGUUUUUGCCCUAUCCAAAUGCUCCCCAUUCCUGUUCAUUCCUUUUCCUUUAAAGGAUUAACUUCUUUUUAAAAUUUUUUAAAUAUUUAUUUAUUUUUGAGAGAGAGAGAGAGAGAAGGAGAUCGUGAGUGGGGGAGAGGCAGAGAGAGAAGGAGACACAGAAUCUGAAGCAGGCUCCAGACUCCGAGCUGUCAGCACAGGGCCCGAUGUGAGGAUCAAACUCACAACCCACGAUAUCAUGACCUGAGCCAAAGUUUGACACUUAAUGACUGAGCCACCCAGGCGCCCCAGGAUUAACUUUAAAAAAAAUAAAAAACAAAAAAAACUAGGGGCGCCCGGCUGGCUCAGUCAAUGGAACACGCGACUCUUGAUCCCGGGGUUGUGAGUUUGAGCCCCACGUUGGGCGUAGAGAUUCUGUAAAAAUAAAAGUCUUUAAAAAAGUAAAUAAUUUAAUUGGCUUCAUUUUGUAUCACCAUCACAAAUGGAAAAUCAGGAUUUUGUUUUUGUUUGUUUUUUUUUGCCUUGCAAGUAUAAAAAUGAUCUUCAAGAAGUGAUUCCACUUUUCUGGGCCUCAGUGUCCUUGUUUGUGGAAUCAAAUGAAGAUAGCACCUUAAUUCUGAGAGUGGCUGUGAAGAUUAGGUGCAUUAACACCUGUGAAGUGCUUAGACCGGGACCUGGCACGGAGUCAGUGCGAUCAAAUGCUGGUUAAACAACUAAAGGAGAAAACCAAAUAAUGUCACGAAAUUCUACCUAGAUAUCGUUGCCUGCUGAAGGCUCUGAGCCCAAGGACUGUUUUCUCUUGGGAAAAGAGGGACAUUAACAAGGUGGAAGGUGUUAAAGACACGUCUGCGCCUACCUAAGACUUCCUCUUAGAAGACCAGACAGGGAACUGAGAAGGACGAACUUACACGUUGUGUGAAUCAGUGUUAUUCAGAGUCUGGCCUAAGUGCCCCUAUACCAGUCAGUUGAGGCUAGAGUUGCUCUGGUAACAAAUAGUCUCAAAAAUCUCAGGGGCUUCUGACAACCAGGAUUCUCACUAUGUGUCCAUCACGGGGUGACCCGGGCUCUCUACUCACCAAAGAAAAUGGGAACGGCCACCAUCUCGAGCAUUCAUGUCACCAGACCAAAGGCAAAAGGGACCUCUUGCAUGAGCACUUGAAAAGCUCCAGCCUGGAAGAGACAUUGACACUUCCACUGACAGUUCAUUGGCCAGAAUUAGUCCUAUGGUCUCCCCCCAAACUCAGGGCAGCUGCCAUCCUUCCCUGAGGCUGGAAGUGGGAAGAACACUAACGACCGUGCCUGGCAUUGCCCCUGACAUUCCUGGUUCCCCUCCGCUAGUGGUGCAUGCUUAGCAGAAUUCUGCUCUAGACAAGACAGAAUGUUCUGAGAGCUGUCAGAGGAAUUAGGGAGCCAUCGAGAUGGGCUUCUUGCAUGGAAGGAUGGUCUGAACUCUCCUGAAGGGGAGUGUGGUUUGGGACAGGGAUGGGGAAAAGUAAACACACACACACACACACACACACACAGAGUUUAUCCACACGUUGGCACUUCUGAAAUUGGAAUGAGUCUUCUAAUGGAUGGGUAUUUUUCAUAUGGUAGAGUUACAUACUUACUCAUGCAUACACACACACACACACACACACACUGAGAAAACUAUUAUGAAAUCAAUUUUGAAUCUUAAAAUUGAUGAUGUCUUAGAAAUAAACAGCAAAGGAUAUAUUAAAGAUAAUGUAAUAAGGUAUAUUCUAGGACAGCUCCCCUGUGUUGGAUUUGGUGGCAGGAGGCAUUAUUAUGAGAGUAAUAGCUACAGUGCCUGACUUCUGGAGCCGUCGGGUGACUGAAAAGUUUUAGGGAAUAUUCAGGGGAAGCUGAUGCACUCAGCAGUUUACCAGUGGGAUACCAGUUUACCAAUAGCAUGUGCAAAUGGGAGUGUAUAUGGUUUUUUUUUGGAAAUGCGUCCAUAGUUUGCCUCAGGCUUCCACAGUGGGCUAGGACCAGGACUGUCAUGUACAGUUUGGUAGGUUGUGCACUGCACAAGGGAAAGUAUUGACCAAUGGUGUGAGUCGGGCUGGAAUCCAGCCUAUGCUCCACUCUUCAGACCUUGUGUCCUGCUAUGAGGCUAUAUCAUUAUUUAGAUCAAAGGGUGUCUUUAUUUGAUUUCUGCCCAGAAACCAUUGGGCCAAUGGCCCCAUCUGGAACCUCAAAAAUGUUAAGAAAUCCAGUGUUGAAAUAUUUUUUCCCUCUCUCUCUUUUCCUGCCUUCCUUCCCACAGUUCCUCAGGAACCUGACCCAUUUUACUAUGGUGAGUGGCAGAUUCUGAUGAGGGUACCCUGGGGCUGGAUAAAGGGGUGGUUGCAGGUCCCCACAGGUUAUUGCUAAAGUGGCUUCAGUCAUGCCAACAUGAUACCUGCUGGACCACAGGCCAUCUGAACAUGUGGAUUCAGUUUCUAUCAGUGAGGUUCAUGGAGCGCAGAAUCAGAUUUGGGGGAGGGGGGUGGUACCCUCUCUGGGUCUCCUUCAAUCUUCACCAGAACUCCAGGCUGGUAUGUUUUGGUCAUCAGAAAAACAUAUGACCGAGGCCAGGCUUCCUGGAUUUAGAUCCUGGCUUAUCCACUUACUAGCUGUGUGGCCUUGAGCAAGUAACUUUUCCCCUCUGGGCUCUUCUGUAAAUAAGGAAUAGUAAUAGUUUCCACCUACGAGGAUUGUGGGAAAGAUUUAUUUGGAUGAUGCCAUGAAACCAUCCCCACAACACUGAAGCUUAGAGAAGUCACCCCCAGGUCUAGCAGCACUGGCCCCAGUUCCCUCUCUAAACACUCCCUUGCCCUCUCCCUUUGCUCACUCAUACCGUUCCUCCAAUACGCCAAAUUCUUUCCCACCUCAGGGCCUUUGCACACGUGGUUCCCUCUGCCAGGCAUACUCCUCUUCUAGCUCUCCAUUCAGCUGACGAAGGCUCCUUUUCCUUCUUCGGGACUCAGAUCAAAUAUUGACUGCUCUGCUAGGAGAGGCCCUUCCUGACUCUCUGCCAAGAGGAGACGCACACACAUCUAGCCAUAGUCACAUGGCUCAGAUGUUUCAUUUUAUUUUUCAGUGCUUUGUCACAAUAUGAAAGUCAAUUCCCUGAGGCAGAGGCCUGGACAUUGACUUAACUACUAAUAGCCUAUUGUUGACUAGAAGUCUCACCGAUACCAUCAUCUAUUAACAUACACUUUGUAUGUUAUGUGUUUAUAUACUGUAUUCUUACAAUAAAGUGAACUAGAGAAAAGAUGUCAUUAAGAAAAAUCAUAAAGAAGAAGGGCACCUGGCUGGCUCAGUUGGUAGAGCAUGUGACUCUCGAUCUCAGGGUCACGAGGUCAAGCCCCGGGAUGGGCGUAGAGCUUACCAAAAAAAUAAAAAAUAAAAAAUAUAUAUAUAAGAAUGAAGAGAAAAUACAUUUACAGUGUGUUGAAACAAAUCUGCCUAUGAGCGGACCCGCAUGUUGUUCAAGGCCUGUAGUUACUGUGGUGUAUGAGACAAGGAUGCUUCUCAUGCAGGAAAAUAAAGGAAAGAAUGACAUUCUAAAGGGUUGAGGAGAGGAGGUGAAAUUCUAAAUGGACAACCAAAGGUUUCCCUGACCUUUGAAUAAAGCCCAGAAAUUGGUAAGGAAGGAAUAUUUGGGGGAGGAGCUUUGAAGCAGAGGAAACAGCACAUACAAAGGCCCUGAGGUAAGACCGUGUCUGAUCUGCUCCAGGAAUGGCAGAGAGACCAAUAUGCCCGAGGUAGGGGACUGAGGGAGAAUGUGGAGGGGGUGAGGUCUGAGAAGGAACGGGGACCAGGUGAUGCAGGGCCGUGUGGGCUGUGGUGAGGACUUUGGCUUUUCCUUGGAAUGCAAUGGAAGCCAGGGUGGGGUGGGGCCCUCUGAGCUCCGGAGCACCCGGAUCUGACUUAGAUGUUGACAGGAUCCCGUGGCUAGGGGGCAAGGAGACCACAGUGCAGGCUGCUUCCUGCAGUGAUUCGGACAGGUGACAGUGGUGGACAGAACCAAGAGGAACCAGCGGUAGAAGGAGGUGAGAUUACAUAUAUGAUGUAGAUAUCAUGUAUGUAUCAUAUAUACAUGUAUGUAUAUAUGAUGUAGAGGAAGGUUUUACGUAUACACAAAGAAUCUAGAGAAGGGUAGAGGGCAGAGAAGGGUAGAGACCUUCCAGAGAAGGUCUAGGGACCAAGCUCCGCUCGCCAUCCUCACACUAGCCCACUGGGGGAGCCCCCGGCACGGCCUGCAGCAUCCCUGGACUCUGGACCCUGACGGGGCAGACUCGAAGCCCGGUCGAGGCUCCAGGGGGGCCUGAGGUGCUACCCCACAUUGACAUCCCCCAUUAUCUUCCCCAGACUAUGACACGGUGCAGACUGUGGGCAUGACUCUGGCCACCAUAUUGUUCCUGCUAGGCAUCCUCAUCAUUAUCAGUAAGUG
Molecule: long non-coding RNA, 11279 nt
Filed under: Lynx pardinus (Iberian lynx)
Lineage: Eukaryota; Metazoa; Chordata; Mammalia; Carnivora; Felidae
Source: RNAcentral